Mobula hypostoma (lesser devil ray) is the source of this 2802-nucleotide long non-coding RNA. RefSeq lists it as uncharacterized. NCBI's taxonomy places the organism in Eukaryota, Metazoa, Chordata, Chondrichthyes, Myliobatiformes, Myliobatidae. The record is from RefSeq and is a predicted model, not a curated record. The transcript has 3 exons.
AAUUCUGUCAAUUGCAAUAGGUUAGCAGCAAUUGUUUUAGGCAGUUUCAGUCACAUUCAUCACAUCUGCCUGUCAACAGGACAUAAACAAUGACUAUUCUAUUAAAACGUUGCUUUCUGUCCCACUGUAUUGAGUGAUUCUGACAUUUGUCUUAUUGGUGGAAGAAAAAAAAAGGAGGAAGGCAGCUUUGGAAGCUAGUAAUCUUCCUGCAUUUCUGUCUAAAGAGAGUGAAUUCGUGUACUCCAUCAGGAAACAGAGGAUGACACGUGUAAAAAUUAAGUAAUUGCUUGUCAGAACCAAGUCAAAUAAUCUGCUCACUUCAUGCUGAUAGGCACUCAGCUUUUCUGCACACUUGAUGCACUGCGGCUCCCUGAUGUUUUCCUGUUGAGCAAGGAUACAGCAAGAGGCCAGAGCUGCGAGUAGCUGUUGGUUUCAAACAAUUCCGUUUUGCACAGGGGAAGACAAGUCAGACCGAGAAUUGGAAUCUUGAUGCAAACAAUAAUCUGCUUCUGAUACAAAUUUGUCAACAACAAGCCCAAUAUUCAUACAUCUUAUUUCGUAUUCCACUGAAUAUUAAAAAUAUCAGUACCUUAAAUUUGUACAGUGUUUUCCCCAAACUCCAACAAGAUUUGGUUUGUAGCUGAAUAUGUGUUAUCUUAAGUAAUAUGUUCUAAAAGGGACAGCAUACCAACAGCCCUGCUGAGCUUUCGCCUGAGAAGACAUUUCCUACUUUUGGACAAUGAUCGCAUCACAGAGGAGCAUAUACUAUACUAUCCAAGCUUCUAUUUUUACGCGUAAUAAUUAAAAAUAGUUUGAACAACUGAACUGCAGUUGAACGAGACUGGCAUUCAUAAAGGCAUCUUUCACUCCCUUUUCUGAGCAUCUCCAAAACCUUUACAGCCAAUGAAGCAUCUGUAAACAGCAAAAAGGUUAAUGGGUCUGUAAGUGAUGUUCAUUAAACGAACCGUAUUGGCCAGGACAUCAGCCUCUCCUAUCCUUUCUUCCCAAUAGUGAUGUCCCACUGAAAGGACUGAUGUCAAAGUAAAUUUAUCACCCAAGUACAUACAUGCCACCAUAUACUACCUUGUGAUUCAUUUUCUUGCAGGCAUUUACAGGAAAAUGAAUAAAUACUGUAGAAUUGAUGAAAAACGCUGUACAUAUGACUGAUGAACAAUAAGAAGACAAAGUGUGCGAAUAAAAAGAUCAAUAAUACUGAGAAUAUGGAAUGUAGAGUCUUUAAAAGUGAGUCUGCAGAUUGUGGAAUCACUUCAGCUUUGAAGUGAGUGCUAGUUCAGGACCUUGAUGGUUGUAGGGCAGGGAUGGCCAACCUAUGGCGCAUGUGCCAACAGUGGCGCACUGGAUGAUUAGAAGUGGUGCACUGCACCCCAGUGAUAAUCAUAAAAAAGUAAGCCUACUCAUGCAAAAAGUAUUAACCAAAAACCGAUUUGGAGAGAAAAAAAAUCUAUAACAGGAAUUCAAGUAGCUUAAAUGGGUUUUACUGAGAACAAAUCUAAAACUUACCUAUUAUUUUUAGUGAUUUUAUUAUUUUGUGCACAUCUUUUGGCGAAUGUUAUCUCUGUUUUCAAUUUUUAAAAAAUGUUCAAUGAGCCAAACUAGGAAUGAAGGACUUUUGUUCUGCAGUCGUUCCAUUAACUGUUCAACACACGUUUGAUACUUGUUUGAUCCUGAGGUGCCAGACGUCUGCACCAACGGUGCGUUGCAGGAGCUGUGCUUUGCUUUUCGAAAAUUAAGCCUUGUUUUUACCCAUCACAGUGCAAAAGAAAAGCAGAAGGUGAUAGUAAGUGUGAAUUCAAUGAACAGUGGGAAAAUGAGUUCCUAUUUAUAGCGGGUCUGUCAGGAAAACCAUUGUGUAUUGUUUGUAAAAACAUAUUCUCACAUAAUAGAAGACAUGGUCUUAAUAGACACUAUAAAACACAACAUCAGACUGAAAUAGAAGGAAAACUGAAGCUACUGCUUGGGUCUGAGAUACGGAAAGAAUCUGUGAUUAAGAAAAAGGAAGAAAUCAAAAGAAGACAAAAUAUAUUUGUUAAAAACCUCAUUAAGGGCUCUCUGAUAUUGAGAACAUCUGAUUACCUGGUUUCUAAACAGUGAAACUCCACAGACCUUCAUCAAGAAAACUGACUUGAAUGUCAACGUCCCCUGCCCCGAAAGAAGUCAUCGGUGGAAGUGGAAAACAAGGCAAGAAUUCUAGGAGAGGGGUUGCUAUCACCAAGCUACAUCAUGAAGGAGAUGCAGGCGACAACUCUGAUACGUUCGAUGCUUGUGCGAAAUUCAGCCGAAUAAAAAGAUGGAAAGAUGCUGCCUGACCUGCUGAGUUCCUCCAGCAUUUUGCGUGUGUUGUUCUGGAUUUCCAGCAUCUGCAGAAUCUCUUGCGUUUCCAUAGCACUAAAGGAUCGAACAGCACCAGGAUAAGGAAAGGUAAUGUUAUUAAGGUUCCUUUUUCUGGUCAUUGAGUUCUGUUCCUUUUUUUAGUGCUGAUUAUGUAAACAAUAUGCUCAAUACAGAUUAAGUGAGUGGGCAAGAGAGUAGUCAGUGGAUUUCGUUAUGGAGAAAAUGUGUAGCUACCUAUUUACAGUAGGUUUGAAAAGCAAUGCUUAAAGUCUUCACAGACUGCUUCUUGCUAGAAUUCAGGAGCUGGGGAGCCCUUGUACAUAAAAGUACCGAAAUAUAAUGCAGACAGAGCAAAUAUUUACAGAAACAAACAAUAUCCUUUAUCAUAAAAUGGAUUAGCAUACAAGCAUAAAGACUUAUGGCAACUGUGCUGGGUGUUGGCAAGACUAU